This 734-nucleotide unclassified non-coding RNA is filed under the name Anthonomus grandis grandis. Its description in RNAcentral is "uncharacterized LOC126735594". The record is from RNAcentral. Lineage: Eukaryota; Metazoa; Arthropoda; Insecta; Coleoptera; Curculionidae.
UCACUAGGUAUUUAAAUCAGUUAAAAUUUAUUUCGAUAAUUUGUGUGUUAUUGUUAGUUACUAUGGUAUACACGCUUAGGCAAAGAAUUGAAAUGAUUUUUAUUUAUGGCGAGCAAGGAAGAUGCGCAAGAAGAACGGCAGAAGUUUUUAAUAAUAGAAAUCCUAAUUGUAAUGUAAGUCACAGAUACAUUUUGGACGUAGUAGCUAAAUUUAAUGAAACGGGUUCAGUUGGAAAUAAAAAAAGGGCAAGUCGGCGUGUUUUAAACGAAGAUGCUCAAGUAGAGAUUUUGGGAACAUUCGUUGCAGAACCCACCAAUUCUCUCCGUACAGUAGCACGUCUAACUGGAAUGUCACAUGAAACUGUACGACGAGCAUUACAGUUACAUAAAUAUCAUCCGUACAAGAUGCAAAUUUUACAGGAACUUCAUGAGGACGAUUUUGAUAGGAGAAUAGAGUUUUGCGAAAUUAUGUCCAACUUAAUAAACACUCGUGCAAUUGUGAGAGGGUGCUACACAGCGGCCACAAAAAAUUAAUGUUUGGGCCGGUAUUCUUGGAAAUGCUGUUAUAGGACCGUUGUUUAUUGAACAAAACUUAACUGGAGAGCUCUACUUACACCUACUUGAAGAUGUAAUUGAUCCUUUGAUAACAACUGAACUGGAAAAUCAAGUUGGUAACAUUUUGCAAGAAAACGAACUACACUUUCAGCAAGAUGGAGCUACGCCGCAUUAUUUUCG